This is a long non-coding RNA of Armigeres subalbatus, 1175 nucleotides long. RefSeq lists it as uncharacterized. The transcript has 3 exons. Lineage: Eukaryota; Metazoa; Arthropoda; Insecta; Diptera; Culicidae. The record is from RefSeq and is a predicted model, not a curated record.
ACACCAGUCUUCAUCUUUAUUAACUGGCGACGAGGGAAUUAAUUUUUAAGAACCUAGCGUGAAUAACGCCAUUGCGGCAUUGUGAAUUGUGACCUAAUGCAAAUUUUAACGGGUGAUAAUCAGUGCACACUGCAAACGGUUUUUUCAACAGCAGAAAAGUGCGAAUUCCGACGGCAUUUUUGCGAACAUUUUUUUUACAGCAACGGCUACGGAGAAGCAGGUCGACAACAGCCUACGAGAGCGGGAAGGCGACACGGCAAAAUUGCAGAGUAUUGUCUCCCACAGCGACAGCUUUCUACAACACCAGACAACGAGGACGGUGGGAAAUCGUUCGCGUUGGAUAACCACGACAUAAGCAGCUAGUUUAGUUAUCAUCGGUCUGCUGUGGGGAAGGAAAAUCAUUUCGACCUCAGGCAACUCUCGAAGUGACGUGCUACCCAGGACGGUUGAUAGUGGUCCGAAAAUUUAACGGCUUCGGGUCGUCUUCCGGAAGAGGGUAAUUGCGACAAUUGUCGGCACAGGCAAAGGCCUUAGGCGAGAGCCAAUCGUAUCUGUACGGAUAGCAAUUGGAAGCGCUCUCACCAUGGCCCACCGAAAUCAGUUUAGGUGCUACAAGGGGCAAACUCCGCAGCCGAGGCAAAACGUGUGGCUGGGAGUCGGUACGGGUGGUAGAGAUGCUAUGAUCGAAGAACGAACUGGAAUUGAAGAACAACACGAAGAGGGCACCGAAGAAGUCAACGCUGGAAGCGGCUCUGAUGAUGAACCAUUCAGGGGAUUCCCUAUGGUUCCGGAAAAGGCCAGAAAACGAAACGCGACUUCGGCGAACUUGCCGAACGUGUGUCCACGGCGAUCGAAAAGGAUUCGCAAGCGAACGAUAGAUCAAAAUUUCGUCUAUUCUUAAAAUAUUAUGUUCGAAGUGCUGAAAUAUUGAAAAAGUGAAUUGUUCAAAUGAAAUGAAUUUUGUAAAUUUUGUUAUGCUUGAAGUUUUCAAGUUCUGAUUUUUAAAAUGAAUACUAUUGUAUUAGUUUCAAGGGGGAACAGCUGUUGUGUCACCCACAUCAAAUACAUAAGAAUUGUACAUACCUUUAGAUUAAACAUACCUUGGCUAAACGUCAACAAACAUAACUUAUGUAACGCCUAUAGAUUCCGAGAUAAAUGAUUAAUAAAUACUUCUA